Molecule: ribosomal RNA, 253 nt
Filed under: uncultured Rikenellaceae bacterium
Lineage: Bacteria; Pseudomonadati; Bacteroidota; Bacteroidia; Bacteroidales; Rikenellaceae
Description: partial 16S ribosomal RNA
Rfam family: Bacterial small subunit ribosomal RNA
Source: RNAcentral
UACGGAGGAUCCAAGCGUUAUCCGGAUUUAUUGGGUUUAAAGGGUGCGUAGGCGGCAGAUUAAGUUAGAGGUGAAAUUCCGAGGCUCAACCUUGGCACUGCCUCUGAUACUGGUUUGCUAGCGAGUAGAUGCUGUAGGCGGAAUGUGUGGUGUAGCGGUGAAAUGCAUAGAGAUCACACAGAACUCCGAUAGCGAAGGCAGCUUACCAGACUGCGACUGACGCUGAAGCACGAGAGCGUGGGUAGCGAACAGG